This 282-nucleotide small nuclear RNA is filed under the name Propithecus coquereli (Coquerel's sifaka). RNAcentral's name for it is "7SK RNA (ENSPCOG00000009349.1)". It matches the Rfam family "7SK RNA", at positions 1 to 293 of the family's 331-position model. Rfam says of the family: 7SK was discovered as an abundant small nuclear RNA in the mid-70s but a possible function has only recently been suggested. Two independent studies have found that 7SK RNA binds the CDK9/cyclin T complex (known as elongation factor P-TEFb). P-TEFb activates transcription by phosphorylating the C-terminal domain of RNA polymerase II. Lineage: Eukaryota; Metazoa; Chordata; Mammalia; Primates; Indriidae. The record is from Rfam by way of RNAcentral.
AGAUGUAAAGGCGAUCUGGCUGUGACAUCUGUCACCCAUUGAUUGCCAGGGUGGAUUCAGCUGAUGUGUCUGGCUAGGCAGGUGUCCCCUUCCUCCCUCACUGCUUCAUGUGUGUCCCCCCCGAAGCUGCAUACUUGGUUGAAAAAGAUGACCUUUCCCAAUAGAGGAGGAUUGUUCUUUGGUCAAAGGUAUACAAGUAUCUGUGCUCCCCUGCUAGAAUCUCCAAACUAGCUCUCAAGGUGAAGGUCUCAUGGUGAGAGUAGAUGAAGGUCUGUGCUACAC